GACGAGUCUCACAGGUGGAGGACAGGUCCCCGCGGCUCUCCGCUCUUGCCAAGGCCGGAGCUUGCUCCGCUGGGGAGUUUCGCUUCGCGCCGCGCUGGCUUCGUGGCCCGCUGCUGAGGCCAAAGGGGUUGGCAAUUCUGUAGUCUGAAAUCCCUGAAGAACAGAAACCCAAAGAAGACAGAGUAAAAGAGGAGAGAUCUGGGCUCAGGAACUGGAAAGAAAAAUAAAAGAAACAGCUCCAUCCUGUGGUCUAUAUUGUUAAUGGCAGGUGUGUGUAUUUGCUAGAGCAGAGUCAAUCAAUCUUUCUUUGCGGAAUGGUAAGAAAUUUGAGUUAUUUCGGGUAACUUUUUUUUUAUUAAAUCUUCUACACACACAUUACAAAUCUCAGGGCUUCCAUCAGUUUAUUUCACUUUCGCUUUUGAUUAUUUUCAAGACCCACACAGCAUAUACUGUGCUUAUACUGCCAGUACUCCAACACCCUAAAAAGCAAGUAGCUCUACCGAGUUUCACAAACUUUAAUCAUGUUAACUGUGCCAGAAAGGUCUGUGCCUGG
Molecule: long non-coding RNA, 553 nt
Organism: Dermochelys coriacea (leatherback sea turtle)
Lineage: Eukaryota; Metazoa; Chordata; Testudines; Dermochelyidae
Exons: 3
Source: RefSeq, a predicted model, not a curated record